RNAcentral lists this ribosomal RNA (502 nucleotides) under uncultured Glomeromycotina. RNAcentral describes it as "partial small subunit ribosomal RNA". It matches the Rfam family "Eukaryotic small subunit ribosomal RNA", at positions 591 to 1092 of the family's 1831-position model. Lineage: Eukaryota; Fungi; Glomeromycota. The record is from RNAcentral.
CCAAUAGCGUAUAUUAAAGUUGUUGCAGUUAAAAAGCUCGUAGUUGAACCUCGGGGUCUACCCAUUGGUCAGGCUUAAUUGUCUGCACUGGUGAGAUGGAUCUCUACCUUCUGAGGAACUUUCAUGCCAUUUAUUUGGUGUGAUGGGAAAUCAGGACUGUUACUUUGAAAAAAUUAGAGUGUUUAAAGCAGACUAUCGUCUGAAUACAUUAGCAUGGAAUAAUGAAAUAGGACGGACUGAUUCUAUUUCGUUGGUUUCUAGGAUCACCGUAAUGAUUAAUAGGGAUAGUUGGGGGCAUUAGUAUUCAAUUGUCGGAGGUGAAAUUCUUGGAUUUAUUGAAGACUAACUACUGCGAAAGCAUUUGCCAAGGAUGUUUUCAUUAAUCAAGAACGAAAGUUAGGGGAUCGAAGACGAUCAGAUACCGUCGUAGUCUUAACCAUAAACUAUGCCGACUAGGGAUCGGACGAAGUUAAUUUUAUAAUGACGCGUUCGGCACCUUACG